Long non-coding RNA from Sinocyclocheilus grahami, 447 nucleotides. RefSeq lists it as uncharacterized. NCBI's taxonomy places the organism in Eukaryota, Metazoa, Chordata, Actinopteri, Cypriniformes, Cyprinidae. The record is from RefSeq and is a predicted model, not a curated record. The transcript is spliced from 3 exons.
CAGGCUAUGGGAUCCAACCCACACUGUAGAAAAGGUCAAAGUGUCGGCCAUCUUCCUUGAUUGAGUUUGUUUCGUGGUGGAGACAGGCCAACAGAAUUUGAGGUUUGGAUCACAUGUCCAGCAGAUGCUAAUCUAUAGAACAUAAAACAUCUAAAAAGUGUGACUCUGCAAAGUCAUUCUGAUUUAUGGAGGUGUCAGGCGGGUGGCUCCAGACAUCAUCUCACGAAACGGGCCCCUGAAUGUCAUCAUUUCAUCCUCCCAGUUCCAGAACAAAUGCCCCUCUGUGACAGCUCCUGAGCUAUUGAUGUGAGAUCACUUUAGAAUCCCUUGACGUGGCGCCCGUUUUGUUUUAUUUUUGGGACAUUUGUUCCUCUUUGUGUCAAGCUAAAAAUAUUUCUCCGUCAUUGAAAAUUAAACCACUGAGAUGCACUUUAUCAAAGAGAUUGA